Molecule: long non-coding RNA, 475 nt
Organism: Heterocephalus glaber (naked mole-rat)
Lineage: Eukaryota; Metazoa; Chordata; Mammalia; Rodentia; Bathyergidae
Source: Ensembl
GGUUCAGGCCCUUUCCUGUGCUUUUCAGAUGUGGAUCUCAGAUAUGGCAGAGGAUUUCCAAAGGCUUCUGGGCUUCCUGGAAUGGGCUCUCCUUACCACCCAGGAGUGCUACGAGGGACACAGACACGGCUUGUUCUCUCUUUGUGCUGGGGGAAUGUCGAGGCCCAGGGAGAUGAAGCUGUUGCCUGGAAUCAUCUGGCUGAAGGAGACCCAGGCUUUCGGCUUUCAGCUCUGACUCCAUCCAUGGGCAGCAGGUCCUGCAGGCUCCUCUGCCCUGGGUCAGAACUUGAAGCUGAGGAGGCUGGUGCACUGUAGGCAGUAACACAUGAUCAAACUGCUUGAGGCUACCAUGAACUAAGCAGUUUUGCUUUGCCUCAUCCCUCUGCCAUGUUUUCUCUGCCUUGGAGCCAGCUGACCAUGGACUGAAACCAUUGAACCCACGCAGCAGGCUGAUGAGCUGGGAAGGUGGUGGAGG